GAAUAUUGGACAAUGGGGGGAACCCUGAUCCAGCCCUGCCGCGUGUGUGAAGAAGGCCCUUUGGUUGUAAAGCACUUUAAGCGAGGAGGAGGCUACUCUAGUGAAUACCUAGAGAUAGUGGACGUGACUCGCAGAAUAAGCACCGGCGCACUCUGUGCCCGCAGCCGCGGUAAGACAGAGGGUGCAAGCGUUAAUCGGAUGUACUGGGCGUAAAGCGCGCGUAGGUGGCCAAUUAAGUCAAAUGUGAAAUCCCCGAGCUUAACUUGGGAAUUGCAUUCGAUACUGGUUGGCUAGAGUAUGGGAGAGGAUGGUAGAAUUCCAGGUGUAGCGGUGAAAUGCGUAGAGAUCUGGAGGAAUACCGAUGGCGAAGGCAGCCAUCUGGCCUAAUACUGACACUGAGGUGCGAAAGCAUGGGGAGCAAAC
RNAcentral lists this ribosomal RNA (423 nucleotides) under uncultured bacterium. RNAcentral describes it as "bacterial SSU rRNA". It matches the Rfam family "Bacterial small subunit ribosomal RNA", at positions 359 to 773 of the family's 1533-position model. The record is from RNAcentral.